UAGGGAAUCUUCGGCAAUGGGGGGAACCCUGACCGAGCAACGCCGCGUGAGUGAAGAAGGUUUUCGGAUCGUAAAGCUCUGUUGUUAAGGAAGAACGAGUGUGAGAAUGGAAAGUUCAUACUGUGACGGUACUUAACCAGAAAGGGACGGCUAACUACGUGCCAGCAGCCGCGGUAAUACGUAGGUGGCAAGCGUUGUCCGGAUUUAUUGGGCGUAAAGCGAGCGCAGGCGGUCAAUUAAGUCUGAUGUGAAAGCCCCCGGCUCAACCGGGGAGGGUCAUUGGAAACUGGUUGACUUGAGUGCAGAAGGGGAGAGUGGAAUUCCAUGUGUAGCGGUGAAAUGCGUAGAUAUAUGGAGGAACACCGGUGGCGAAAGCGGCUCUCUGGUCUGUAACUGACGCUGAGGCUCGAAAGCGUGGGGAGCGAACAGG
RNAcentral lists this ribosomal RNA (430 nucleotides) under Bacteroidota bacterium. RNAcentral describes it as "Bacteroidetes bacterium partial 16S ribosomal RNA". It matches the Rfam family "Bacterial small subunit ribosomal RNA", at positions 355 to 776 of the family's 1533-position model. Lineage: Bacteria; Pseudomonadati; Bacteroidota. The record is from RNAcentral.